RNAcentral lists this long non-coding RNA (255 nucleotides) under Gossypium barbadense (sea-island cotton). RNAcentral's name for it is "long non-coding RNA (GBAR_LNC013451)". The record is from RNAcentral. Lineage: Eukaryota; Viridiplantae; Streptophyta; Magnoliopsida; Malvales; Malvaceae.
UCAGCUGCAAUCACAUCUUUCUUGAAUUGAACAAAAAUAAAAGAUUGAGGGGAAAAGAAAUAUGCUAAGUCAUUUUCGGUGGUUCUCUGAGGCACAACUCACUCUGCUCCUCCUUUGUUCUUCACUUCUUGCCAUGAAAACCAAGCUUAAAAGCUCCCAAUAUGAUCAAAUAGGGCUGCUCUCAAAGCCAUGCAAACACUUUUUGAAGAAUGGAAAAUCAAAAGUGCAAGAAAAGAGAAAAGGGAGAAGAGAUUA